UACCGUGGGCGGAGCCAGAUCACGUGACCCCCAGGCACCCAAUGAGGCAGAGGAAGCUCCCUCCGACUCAACGUCUGCGAUUUGAGACUAGGAGCCUCCUCGCCCACGUGUCGAGAGUUCAAUGCUUCAGUGCAAGUUACUCGAGGCGACUGUAUGGUCUUGGUGUGGUCCUUUGGCUGUCGGUGUUGGUGUUUUGCCAUCUUGCCCAAGCUUGGAUAUGAUGUUGACAAAUCUACAGGAAGGAACUUCCAAUCGUGGAGCGACGCGCGAAUGAAGCGACCCGACCUCCCAUCGGGAUAUGAUGGCUGGCAGGUGGUUGAAGCUAUCCCGCAGGAAGCGAGCGCAGGUUCCGAGGAGGAGCGCCAUGUGGUGGUGUAAGCACUCAGCCUGCUGAAGCGCGGGAGUGCAGAUCGGCGACCCCACGAGGUGGAGACAGGAGGGUCAGGGUCCCCCCAGGGGGAAAACAGCGGCGCGUGCUGGUGCGCGUGCCAGCGAGCGAGUACCUCCGCCUGGCCGUGGACCACUUCUCGCUCGUGCUGGUGGCGUGCAUGUGCGUACCCGACACGGUCGCCGAGGUCGCGCGCGUGCACGUGACCCACGUGCGUUCCCCACGCUUGCGCGUGCACGUGAGUGGCACGCUACAGCAGCAUCAACAAUAACAACAACAGCAGCAACAACUAUACGUCUCAAAAUUUAUUUUA
Petromyzon marinus (sea lamprey) is the source of this 701-nucleotide non-coding RNA. Lineage: Eukaryota; Metazoa; Chordata; Hyperoartia; Petromyzontiformes; Petromyzontidae. The record is from RefSeq and is a predicted model, not a curated record.